GACGAACGCUGGCGGCGUGCUUAACACAUGCAAGUCGUACGGUAAGGCCCUUUCGGGGGUCCACGAGUGGCGAACGGGUGAGUAACACGUGAGUAACCUGCCCACAACUUUGGGAUAACGCUAGGAAACUGGUGCUAAUACUGGAUAUGUGCUCCUGCUGCAUGGUGGGGGUUGGAAAGCUCCGGCGGUUGUGGAUGGACUCGCGGCCUAUCAGCUUGUUGGUGGGGUAGUGGCCUACCAAGGCGGCGACGGGUAGCCGGCCUGAGAGGAUGACCGGCCACAUUGGGACUGAGAUACGGCCCAGACUCCUACGGGAGGCAGCAGUGGGGAAUAUUGCACAAUGGGCGCAAGCCUGAUGCAGCAACGCCGCGUGCGGGAUGACGGCCUUCGGGUUGUAAACCGCUUUCAGCAGGGACGAAGCUUUUUGUGACGGUACCUGCAGAAGAAGCACCGGCUAACUACGUG
This 465-nucleotide ribosomal RNA is filed under the name uncultured bacterium. RNAcentral's name for it is "partial 16S ribosomal RNA". It matches the Rfam family "Bacterial small subunit ribosomal RNA", at positions 28 to 507 of the family's 1533-position model. The record is from RNAcentral.